CUGCUUCACUUUUAAAUGUGACUGCACUCAUAAAAAGCGAGAAGAAAACACAGUAAGUAGGGUGAAGACGAGUAUGAGCUCUACAGUUAAAAAAAUAUAAUAAAAUAUGAUGCAUUUAAAUAAUUUCUUUUUUAGUUUUGACCUUUUUUUUAAAAAACAUUUAGUCAGUGACACAAACCAAACAUCUGUGGUAAAAUAACUGAUUUUAAGACUAAAUCCUACAGAAAGCUCAACCUUAAAUCACACUGCAAAAUAAAGUAUGUGAGUUAGCAGUUACAAACUCUGAAUCUAUUUGAGUCACAGCCAAAUGGAUCAUGGAUCAUUCUGAACAUAAGUAUGUUGCGUUACAGGAUGUGGAACUAUUUUCUUGAAAAAAAAAAAAAAAAAUCUCCAUGAAGCUCCCACGAGGAAAAACUUUUCUUCUGGAUUUUUAGCUGACAGGGUAAAAGUUUGGAGUACAAGGACCGGCGUCCAAAAAUUUAUAGCCACCUAUGUCACGCUGUGAUCUGUUUUCAAAUACAAGAAAUAUUUCCCCUACAUGUGCUGUCAAGAUGAGCUUGAGAGAGAGAGACCGAAAAAGAUGGAUGAUAUCCUCGGACCACGAUGGCGGGCAGACUAACAAAUUCCUUUAACACUGGAUGAAAGCUAUCAAGUAGCAGGAUUACAGCGAUAAUACAGACAUGUGAGAAAUGCUGAACUUCCCAAAGUGUGGUGUUUUCAGGAAGCGGUUGGACUGGAGGGCUGCCCUACGGAACAUUUCCCAUGGACAUAAGCACAACCCAGACCGCAGCUUGAGAGGCAGGUGAGCCGUUUCUGGGUAUGAGAGGAAGUAACUCGUUCAGAGGCAUGGAAGGAUUUAAGGAGAAGAGAGGUGAACGCUCCUUUAAAACCCUUUGAAGGUUGGCUGCGGUAGGCAGAGCCGCGGUUUUCCCAAAAGCCCCCCUAACAGGAAAAACGGUCUCUUUUCCUCUUUUUUUUUUUUUUCCCAUUGCAUAAGAGCAACCUCUACCCCACCACAGCCAAAAGCACGGACCUACUUUGAACUCCAAAGGGGGUGCAAAUCGUUUUAUUAAGUCCUUGAAAUACUCCGAAGGUUGCGUUCAUUAAACACACUCCUUGACAAACAAGUUGUAUUUACAAGACACUUUAUCGGAUGCCAAAGCUUGUGACUCAGACAAGCCUGCUUCACCUCUUCCUGUUCUUUCCUCUCCAUCUUUAUUCAUUCUCCCUUGAGGGCGAUGUUACUACACCCCAGGGGGAUUUCUGUAGGGGAGUUGCCCACAGGUCAGAGGUCAUAGUGUAAAGGCACUAACACUUUUCCAUCACUAUGGAUGUGUCUGUGUGUAUCCAAGUCAGAUAAGUAUACUGAUAGGAAAUAAGUGGGGCCAGAUAUACGCAUGUGGACCUCACACACACACACACACACACACACACACACACACACACACACACACACACACACCACUCUGCAUCUGGAUGAAAUCUGCAGCUAGCA
Astatotilapia calliptera (eastern happy) is the source of this 1495-nucleotide long non-coding RNA. Lineage: Eukaryota; Metazoa; Chordata; Actinopteri; Cichliformes; Cichlidae. The record is from Ensembl.